Molecule: long non-coding RNA, 597 nt
Filed under: Homo sapiens (human)
Lineage: Eukaryota; Metazoa; Chordata; Mammalia; Primates; Hominidae
Description: GIHCG inhibitor of miR-200b/200a/429 expression
Source: RNAcentral
ACAACCGGAGGCGAUUGACCGUUAUCUGCGGUUUGGAGCCGUUAGCGGGAGAGGCAGAGAUAUUCAGAGGUCUUUUAGGAUGCGCUAAAGGGUCGUGAGGGCUCUCUUAAAAUUUUCUUCACAAGCGGUUAUCCAGUCGUGCCCCGCGGCCCUGCUGCUGGCCCCGGGGAUCUGAGUCGUACCCUCUUGUUUUUCUCUGAGUCAGUCUUAAGGUGAAAUGAAGUGUGGCCCAGUGGCUCCUCACUGUCGCUUCUCUAGUUUUCUGCCUCCUUUUAGAAAAUUGAAUUGAAAAGACAGGAUGAAGUGGACACAGCAUGUGAAGACAAUUCUUUCAAGAAGUUUGGCUGUCAAGGAAAACAGAGAAUGUGAGUAGCCAAAGCAGAAUGACAGUGAAAGAAAGAAAUUGGGAGCCAGACAAUACAGCCCGACAGUUUACGCCUGUACGGAUGUACCUCUUUCACAAAAGAUUGAGUAUGCUUGGGGAAAAAAAAUACACACUAUAAUAGGAGAAAAUGAUGAAGAGAAACUGAGGUAAAGGUAAUUGGAAAACAAAAUAAAGCCAGGGGUAUAUUAAUACCCCAAAACUUCAUACCAAAA